AGUUCGGAUUGGAGGCUGAAACUCGCCUCCAUGAAGUUGGAUUCGCUAGUAAUCGCGCAUCAGCCAUGGCGCGGUGAAUACGUUCCCGGGCCUUGUACACACCGCCCGUCAAGCCAUGGGAGUUGGGGGUGCCUGAAGUACGUGACCGCAAGGAGCGUCCUAGGGCAAAACCGAUGACUGGGGCUAAGUCGUAACAAGGUAGC
Molecule: ribosomal RNA, 203 nt
Filed under: uncultured bacterium
Lineage: Bacteria
Description: partial 16S ribosomal RNA
Rfam family: Bacterial small subunit ribosomal RNA
Source: RNAcentral